GGGUGAUCCUGGGGUUGCCAAAAGUCAGCUUCUGAAGCACAUAAUAAAUGUAGCGCCUAGAGGAGUGUAUACUACUGGCAGAGGAAGCAGUGGAGUUGGUCUUACUGCUGCUGUUCAGAAGGAUCCGGUUACAAAUGAGAUGGUCUUAGAAGGGGGAGCUUUGGUUCUAGCUGAUAUGGGUAUAUGUGCUAUUGAUGAGUUUGACAAGAUGGAUGAAUUAGAUCGUACAGCAAUUCAUGAAGUCAUGGAGCAGCAGACUGUAAGCAUUGCAAAAGCUGGGAUUACCACAUCUCUGAAUGCAAGAACGGCUGUUCUUGCCGCUGCUAAGACCAUCUCAUUUGUAAC
Molecule: unclassified non-coding RNA, 345 nt
Filed under: Hevea brasiliensis (rubber tree)
Lineage: Eukaryota; Viridiplantae; Streptophyta; Magnoliopsida; Malpighiales; Euphorbiaceae
Source: RNAcentral